Non-coding RNA from Paramuricea clavata, 397 nucleotides. The record is from the annotation of a GenBank genome assembly. Lineage: Eukaryota; Metazoa; Cnidaria; Anthozoa; Malacalcyonacea; Plexauridae.
AAAGAUCAAUCAUCACCCAAGCAUUCAGCCUGCAAAUUCUUCAUAUUAAUAUGUUAAUUAGAAUAAUAGAAGAGACAGUUCGAAGAGGCAGUUAUAUUAAUUUUGAGCAUGUAUAUAAAGUUAAAUUAAUCAAGGAUUGUAAACAAGUUUUAAACUUAUAAGAGUUUCCUGUCAACGAUUUUUGUAGUAUGCAAACAAGUGCAUAUAAUAAGAAAGAAACCUCUCAAGUUUUUGACGCUCCAGACACAUGCUUCCGCCUGACGGUAGCUUGCGUAGCAGGCGUUUAGUAAAGGGCGUCGUUUGAGGAAACUCCUGCCCAAAUAGCUAUGACAAAUUAGUUUUCGCCCAUUAAGGAUGAUUGACGUUUUGUAGUUAGCACCGUCACCCAUUAUCCAAU